GUGAGGAAUUUUCCGCAAUGGGCGAAAGCCUGAUCCAGCCAUGCCGCGUGAACGAUGAAGGCCUUCGGGUUGUAAAGUUCUUUAGCCGAUGAUUAUAAUGACUGUAGUCGGAAAAUAAGCCCCGGCUAACUUCGUGCCAGCAGCCGCGGUAAUACGAAUGGGGCGAGCGUUAUUCGGAAUCACUGGGCGUAAAGCGUGCGUAGGCGGUUUUGUAAGUUAGGAGUGAAAGCCCAGGGCUCAACCUUGGAAUUGCUCUUAAAACUGCAAGGCUCGAAUCUCGGAGAGGAUAGCGGAAUUUCCAGUGUAGCAGUGAAAUGCGUAGAUAUUGGAAGGAACACCAGUGGCGUAAGCGGCUAUCUGGACGAGUAUUGACGCUGAGGCACGAAAGCGUGGGGAUCAAACAGGAUUAGAUACCCGAGUAGUCC
This 425-nucleotide ribosomal RNA is filed under the name uncultured bacterium. Its description in RNAcentral is "partial 16S ribosomal RNA". It matches the Rfam family "Bacterial small subunit ribosomal RNA", at positions 354 to 796 of the family's 1533-position model. The record is from RNAcentral.